RNAcentral lists this ribosomal RNA (314 nucleotides) under uncultured eukaryote. RNAcentral describes it as "partial 18S ribosomal RNA". It matches the Rfam family "Eukaryotic small subunit ribosomal RNA", at positions 1470 to 1796 of the family's 1831-position model. The record is from RNAcentral.
CCCUUAGAUGUUCUGGGCCGCACGCGCGCUACACUGAUACAGGCAACGAGUACCAUGUCCUGAGCCGAAAGGCUUGGGUAAUCUUGUGAAACUGUAUCGUGCUGGGGCUUGACGAUUGCAAUUAUUUGUCACAAACGAGGAAUUCCUAGUAAACGCAGGUCAUCAACUUGCAUUGAUUACGUCCCUGCCCUUUGUACACACCGCCCGUCGCUCCUACCGAUUGAAUGUUCCGGCGAACAAUUUGGACGAGCUCGGUUUACCUUGCUUGGAAGUCUUGUAAGCCAUAACACUUAGAGGAAGGAGAAGUCGUAACA